CACAGGUUUGGUCCCAGCCUUCCGACCC
This 28-nucleotide ribosomal RNA is filed under the name Cervus canadensis canadensis (Eastern wapiti). RNAcentral's name for it is "partial 12S ribosomal RNA". RNAcentral also lists the same sequence under 2 other names. The record is from RNAcentral. Lineage: Eukaryota; Metazoa; Chordata; Mammalia; Artiodactyla; Cervidae.